This 89-nucleotide transfer RNA is filed under the name Phycisphaerae bacterium. RNAcentral's name for it is "tRNA-Ser". Lineage: Bacteria; Pseudomonadati; Planctomycetota; Phycisphaerae. The record is from RNAcentral.
UGUUUUCUUGCAAAAUGGCGAUGUUGUGGAAGUGGAGAUUCCAGGCGUGGGUCGCGUGCGCAAUCCUGUUCAAAGCGAAAAAUGAACAA